CGUAACGGGAAGGUGGGGAUGACGUCAAAUCAUCAUGCCCCUUAUGACCUGGGCUACACACGUGCUACAAUGGUUGGUACAACGAGUUGCGAGUCGGUGACGGCGAGCUAAUCUCUUAAAGCCAAUCUCAGUUCGGAUUGUAGGCUGCAACUCGCCUACAUAAAGUCGGAAUCGCUAGUAAUCGCGGAUCAGCACGCCGCGGUGAAUACGUUCCCGGGCCUU
RNAcentral lists this ribosomal RNA (222 nucleotides) under uncultured Streptococcus sp. Its description in RNAcentral is "partial 16S ribosomal RNA". It matches the Rfam family "Bacterial small subunit ribosomal RNA", at positions 1161 to 1382 of the family's 1533-position model. Lineage: Bacteria; Bacillati; Bacillota; Bacilli; Lactobacillales; Streptococcaceae. The record is from RNAcentral.